Molecule: long non-coding RNA, 769 nt
Filed under: Oryza brachyantha (malo sina)
Lineage: Eukaryota; Viridiplantae; Streptophyta; Magnoliopsida; Poales; Poaceae
Description: long non-coding RNA (OBRA_LNC002791)
Source: RNAcentral
CGGCGCCGCCUGACAGCCUCCACGGAUCAUCGUCCUCCGCGGCGUACGACGAUGGCAGCGACGUCGAGUACGUCCGCGUCGUCCUCCUCGCCGCCGCCGACGAGGAGCACGCCGGAGAAGGUAUCAGUGUCAGCAAGGACAACUAGUGUACAGUGAUUUAUCUUCACUAAAUACAUAUAUAUAUCUACAGAAGUUCAGCAGAGUACAGUGAGUUUUCUGAACUCCUGAAGAUCAUGUGUUUUCGUCAGGAGAUUGUUGUGAUCUGUGAAUCCUGAAACAUGGGAGCACAUCUUGCACAUGUCAAAGAUUAAUUUGCCGCAAAGUGAAAUACAAUUCAGAUAAUUAAGUAGAUAUAUUUUUUCUUUGUGUGAUGCAGAUUAUAGCAGAGCAGUCAGAAAUGAGUUGAGAACAACUUGUGGCACUUUAGCAAAGAACAUUGAUUCUGUUGCAGAGUUGCAUCUAUCUUCUUGUUUCAGUAAAGCGUAACAGCUUCAGCUUUCAGAUCAGUUGAGAUGCUUAUCCUGCUGCAAUUGCAGUUCAUCAGUAAUUAUACUGUCAGUUCUGACCCCCACCCCCAUGUGUUUUCAUCACAUUAUUGUGAACGGCUGAAUAGUAAUACUGCUCUACUAUUUCAUCAGGUUGUUUUGCUGAAUAGUCAAAUUGACAGUGUUUUUCUCCCUAGAUGUUUAUUGAUAUUUCAAGGGUUAAACGGAGCAAUUAAAAGAUACUCCCACGGUUCAAAAACAAUUGCACUUUUGACUUUAAUACG